Molecule: ribosomal RNA, 716 nt
Filed under: Staphylococcus aureus
Lineage: Bacteria; Bacillati; Bacillota; Bacilli; Caryophanales; Staphylococcaceae
Description: bacterial SSU rRNA
Rfam family: Bacterial small subunit ribosomal RNA
Source: RNAcentral
GGGUGAGUAACACGUGGGUAACCUACCUAUAAGACUGGAAUAACUCCGGGAAACCGGGGCUAAUGCCGGAUAACAUUUAGAACCGCAUGGUUCUAAAGUGAAAGAUGGUUUUGCUAUCACUUAUAGAUGGACCCGCGCCGUAUUAGCUAGUUGGUAAGGUAACGGCUUACCAAGGCAACGAUACGUAGCCGACCUGAGAGGGUGAUCGGCCACACUGGAAYUGAGACACGGUCCAGACUCCUACGGGAGGCAGCAGUAGGGAAUCUUCCGCAAUGGGCGAAAGCCUGACGGAGCAACGCCGCGUGAGUGAUGAAGGUCUUCGGAUCGUAAAACUCUGUUAUUAGGGAAGAACAAAUGUGUAAGUAACUGUGCACGUCUUGACGGUACCUAAUCAGAAAGCCACGGCUAACUACGUGCCAGCAGCCGCGGUAAUACGUAGGUGGCAAGCGUUAUCCGGAAUUAUUGGGCGUAAAGCGCGCGUAGGCGGUUUCUUAAGUCUGAUGUGAAAGCCCACGGCUCAACCGUGGAGGGUCAUUGGAAACUGGGAAACUUGAGUGCAGAAGAGGAAAGUGGAAUUCCAUGUGUAGCGGUGAAAUGCGCAGAGAUAUGGAGGAACACCAGUGGCGAAGGCGACUUUCUGGUCUGUAACUGACGCUGAUGUGCGAAAGCGUGGGGAUCAAACAGGAUUAGAUACCCUGGUAGUCCACGCCGUAAAC